RNAcentral lists this long non-coding RNA (537 nucleotides) under Mustela putorius furo (domestic ferret). RNAcentral describes it as "lncRNA (ENSMPUG00000031805.1)". The record is from RNAcentral. Lineage: Eukaryota; Metazoa; Chordata; Mammalia; Carnivora; Mustelidae.
CAAUUUUAGGGUGUGUAAAAAAGGGAGAAGACGGGAAAAAUACAUAUGGUGGAAUGAUUCAUCACCAAGAGAGGAGAAUGGCAUGGAAUGACAGCAGUCAGCUGCCCUCAAGGAGCAAGGCGGUGUUAAGCUUCUGUCUUAAGUUCUAAACAUUUUUGGCCUCUAAAUUUGUUGUUUUGUGUUUGUCAGUUGGCGGUGGAGGGGUCUUCCAACCCAAAGAAAACCCAGGUUGGGUGUCAACUGACUUCAUGUGUGGGCCAUCACUGAAUUUUGUUCAACCACUGUUGGCUGCCCUGUUUCCCCUGGGGGCUCCCUGGGAUGCUGAGAGCAGAGGGCUGAAGGAAGGAAGGAAGAGCAGGAAGAGCGAGGCUGCCCUUGCCGGGCGCUCUCCUGUCUGGGGCAGCCGAGAUGUGUUCGGGAGUUGGGGCAAUCACCGCGGCUCCUCCUAGACCUUGCCAGGCCCCAGGAAGCAGCAACGGGCAGCCACCGUGGGACCAGAUGAGAACCUGCCUGCUGCGUCCCCUCACAGUCCCAUCA